Molecule: long non-coding RNA, 399 nt
Organism: Apodemus sylvaticus (European woodmouse)
Lineage: Eukaryota; Metazoa; Chordata; Mammalia; Rodentia; Muridae
Exons: 2
Source: RefSeq, a predicted model, not a curated record
GAAUCCAGUUCAGAGCCUACUGUGAGGAUUCAGGGAGGCCAUGUGUAAAACACUUGGAAUUUUCUCUCCCCACCCCCACACCUUCAGAAAUAACGAGUGCAAAGUCACUCUAUCUGCUUGUGAACAUUUUGAAGGUUUUCAUUCCCUCCGGGAGGAAAGAGGUCUGUUUUGGAGUGAGGCCAGUGGUGUUCAAAAUACAGGAAGUAAAAGAAACACAGGCGCGAUUCUCAUGCACUAGAGGGGAGUUCUCUUUUAGUAUAAGCAGAAAAGCAAAUCUACUUGAGAUGAACCAGCUUCUGCCUGAGGUGAACAAAUCCUUUCCCCCUGAGAUCUUAUCGUUUCUUAUCUGGAAGAUGGAUAGAAUGGAGCCAGUCUCCCCAGAGUCUGGUGGCUGUUUGA